GUCUCAGGCCAUAUCAGCCUGAAGGCGCCCGAUCUCGUCUGAUCUCGGAAGCUAAGCAGGGUCGGGCCUGGUUAGGAUCUUGGAUGGGAGACCACCUGGGAAUCCCGGGUGCUCGAGGCU
Ribosomal RNA from Bison bison bison, 120 nucleotides. The record is from Ensembl. Lineage: Eukaryota; Metazoa; Chordata; Mammalia; Artiodactyla; Bovidae.